This 184-nucleotide non-coding RNA is filed under the name Syntrophaceticus schinkii. The record is from RNAcentral. Lineage: Bacteria; Bacillati; Bacillota; Clostridia; Thermoanaerobacterales; Thermoanaerobacterales Family III. Incertae Sedis.
CAUAUGCGUAUUUUUCCAGGUGCCCGCAGGGGAGAAUAGGGAACCGGGUGUGAUUUCCCGGACGGACCCGCCACUGUAAGCAGAUACGAUCCUGGCACAGCCACCGGAUGGUUUACCAUUCCGGGAAGGGACAGGGGAGGUUAAGCUGCUAAGUCAGGAGACCUGCCUGAGAAAACUUAAUCAC